Molecule: long non-coding RNA, 333 nt
Organism: Impatiens glandulifera
Lineage: Eukaryota; Viridiplantae; Streptophyta; Magnoliopsida; Ericales; Balsaminaceae
Exons: 2
Source: RefSeq, a predicted model, not a curated record
UUCCAUCUCUCUUUCUCAUGCUACAAUUAGGGUUCUAAAGAUAGAAAGAUGUGUAGGAGCCAAGAUUGUUCGGCUGUGACCGCAAGCAGGUUUUAGUGGAGGUCCUCAUCGAUGAAUAACGACCUCGGGCGGGAGUUUGAACCGAACCUGACAACAACAAACACUGCACCAAUGACAUAAUUUUUGCCAGAUUUUGGAAACCUAUGAUGUCUAAUUUCUUCAAGUUUCUUUCCUUCUUGUAAUAGUUCCAAAACAUCAAGAAUUUACUCAAAUUAUAUUCCCCAUCUCUCUAUUCUUUUCAAUAUCAAUUCUAAACCUUUCUUUACAAUUCAA